GUGAUAUUGACUGAGGUGGGGCUUGCCAUGUUCUCGAAAGUACGGAGUUUUUCAUAUUUUUAAAUUAUCUUCGAUGUUUAGACUUUCGAAUUAACGAUUAGUUUCGUUAGAUUUAAUUUAGUAUAUUUGAAGUCUUUAGAAAAAAAUAUUUUGCGAUUUUUUGAUAUUAUUUGUCUGGCGAUCGAAGGAGCACAAAAUCAAUAGUUUUAAUGAUCGUGGUGAGUCGUUUGCAAGUUUAACGGUGUAGAAAUAUUCAAAUUACGUAAAAUUUUAAUCGAAAAUUCUUUAUACUAUAUAAAACAAUAUCAAUAUUUUCGAUCUAAAAUUUUUAUUUUCAGUCAUUCAUUUUGAGCCCCUUCGAUCACUAAACAAAUGAUAUCGAAAAAUCGUAAAAUUUAUUUUCUAGAUACUUCAAAUACUCUAAAUCAAAUCCAACGGAACCGAUCGUCGAUUCGAAAGUCCCAACAUAAAAGACAAUUUGGAAGCACGAAAGGCUCCGUACUUCCAGAAGCAUAUCAGCCUCACUCAUAUUGACUGUAUAAUAU
This 545-nucleotide long non-coding RNA is filed under the name Ananas comosus (pineapple). RNAcentral's name for it is "long non-coding RNA (ACOM_LNC036082)". The record is from RNAcentral. Lineage: Eukaryota; Viridiplantae; Streptophyta; Magnoliopsida; Poales; Bromeliaceae.